UACGUAGGGUGCAAGCGUUGUCCGGAAUUAUUGGGCGUAAAGAGCUCGUAGGCGGUUCGUCGCGUCGGCUGUGAAAACCUGAGGCUCAACCUCAGGCCUGCAGUCGAUACGGGCGGACUUGAGUACUGCAGGGGAGACUGGAAUUCCUGGUGUAGCGGUGAAAUGCGCAGAUAUCAGGAGGAACACCGGUGGCGAAGGCGGCCAACUGGACGAAUACUGACGCUGAGACUCGAAAGCGUGGGGAGCGAACAGG
Molecule: ribosomal RNA, 253 nt
Filed under: uncultured bacterium
Lineage: Bacteria
Description: partial 16S ribosomal RNA
Rfam family: Bacterial small subunit ribosomal RNA
Source: RNAcentral